RNAcentral lists this ribosomal RNA (360 nucleotides) under Ixodes scapularis (black-legged tick). RNAcentral's name for it is "partial 16S ribosomal RNA". The record is from RNAcentral. Lineage: Eukaryota; Metazoa; Arthropoda; Arachnida; Ixodida; Ixodidae.
UGCUGUAGUAUUUUGACUAUACAAAGGUAUUGAAAUAAGAUUUUAAAUGAGUGCUAAGAGAAUGAUUAAACAAUUAAAAGCUUUCUUUAAUUAAAAAAUUAAAUUUAAUUUUUUUAGUGCAAAAGCAAAAAUAAAAUUUAGGGACAAGAAGACCCUAUGAAUUUUUAUUGUUAAUAAUUAAAAUUUAAGUUAUUAAUAAUUUAAUUGGGGCGAUAAAAAAAGAAUAAGUAUCUUUUUAGUUAUAAAAUAAGUUCCGUUUUUAGCGAUUAAAUGAAAUAAAUACUCUAGGGAUAACAGCGUAAUAAUUUUGGAUAGUUCAUAUAGAUAAAAUAGUUUGCGACCUCGAUGUUGGAUUAGGAU